AACUCUUAUUCUACGUAUCUUGACACAUCAUCUUCGCGUGUAAACUCGAUUUUUUUCCGUGCAGAAUUUUCUUAUGUUGACCAGCUAACUUAUCCUCAAUUAAUUCAAAGGAUGACUUACGUGCACUCGUCACCCGCUUUCGAAUAUCUGCAUUUUCAUUAAUAUUGUCUGCUUCCUCGGCUAUUCACAUACCAGGAAUAUGUCUCAUGUUACAAUUUUGCUGAUUAGUCACAGAUUGUACAAUAAUUUAUCAUAUCAAUUCCCUCGUCGAAUCGGUAAAAGAAUGAAAGAGUUGAUAACUCAUGUUUGGUUAGUGAGCAAAAAAUAAUAUUCCAAAAAUAUUUAUAUAUAAUUCAUACAAAUACACUUUUAUAUAUAAUUCAUACAAUUUUGCUGAUUAGUCACAGAUUGUACAAUAAUUUAUCAUAUCAAUUCCCUCGUCGAAUCGGUAAAAGAAUGAAAGAGUUGAUAACUCAUGUUUGGUUAGUGAGCAAAAAAUAAUAUUCCAAAAAUAUUUAUAUAUAAUUCAUACAAAUACACUUUU
Molecule: long non-coding RNA, 544 nt
Filed under: Nicotiana benthamiana
Lineage: Eukaryota; Viridiplantae; Streptophyta; Magnoliopsida; Solanales; Solanaceae
Description: long non-coding RNA (NBEN_LNC022060)
Source: RNAcentral